RNAcentral lists this ribosomal RNA (253 nucleotides) under uncultured bacterium. RNAcentral describes it as "partial 16S ribosomal RNA". It matches the Rfam family "Bacterial small subunit ribosomal RNA", at positions 524 to 776 of the family's 1533-position model. The record is from RNAcentral.
UACGUAGGGGGCGAGCGUUGUCCGGAAUUAUUGGGCGUAAAGAGCGUGUAGGCGGUUCGGUAAGUCUGCCGUGAAAACCCAGGGCUCAACCCUGGGCGUGCGGUGGAUACUGCCGGGCUAGAGGGUGGUAGAGGCGAGUGGAAUUCCCGGUGUAGCGGUGAAAUGCGCAGAUAUCGGGAGGAACACCAGUAGCGAAGGCGGCUCGCUGGGCCAUACCUGACGCUGAGACGCGAAAGCGUGGGGAGCGAACAGG